This 253-nucleotide ribosomal RNA is filed under the name uncultured bacterium. Its description in RNAcentral is "partial 16S ribosomal RNA". It matches the Rfam family "Bacterial small subunit ribosomal RNA", at positions 524 to 776 of the family's 1533-position model. The record is from RNAcentral.
GACGAAGGGGGCUAGCGUUGUUCGGAAUUACUGGGCGUAAAGCGCGUGUAGGCGGUUGUUCAAGUCAGGUGUGAAAGCCUUGAGCUCAACUCAAGAAAUGCACUUGAUACUGGAUGACUAGAGGACCGGAGAGGGAUGCGGAAUUCCAGGUGUAGCGGUGAAAUGCGUAGAUAUCUGGAGGAACACCGGUGGCGAAGGCGGCAUCCUGGACCGACACUGACACUGAGGAGCGAAAGCCAGGGGAGCAAACGGG